RNAcentral lists this ribosomal RNA (554 nucleotides) under Platymeris biguttatus. Its description in RNAcentral is "partial 16S ribosomal RNA". It matches the Rfam family "Bacterial large subunit ribosomal RNA", at positions 1797 to 2621 of the family's 2925-position model. The record is from RNAcentral. Lineage: Eukaryota; Metazoa; Arthropoda; Insecta; Hemiptera; Reduviidae.
CGCCUGUUUAUCAAAAACAUGUCCUCUUGUUAUUUAUUUGAGGUCUAACCUGCCCAAUGAGUUUAACUUGAAUGGCCGCGGUAUUUUAACCGUGCUAAGGUAGCAUAAUCAUUUGUUUUUUAAUUGAGGGCUAGAAUGAAUGGUUGGACGAAGCAUUAGCUUUCUUUAAUUUAAAUAAUGAAUUUAAUUUUUUGGUUAAAAAGCCAAAAUGUUUUUAUGGGACGAGAAGACCCUAUAGAUCUUUAUAUUUUACUUUCUUUUGUUAUUUAGUUUUGUUAUAUAAUGUAAUUAAGGGGAAUAUUUAAUUGGGGUGAUUUCAGAAUUUUAUUAACUUCUGUUUUUUGAUUCAUUAAUUUAUGUUUUUAUGAUCCAUUUUUUGUGAUUUUAAGAUUAAGUUACCUUAGGGAUAACAGCGUAAUUUUUCCGGAGAGUCCGUAUUGAUGGAGGAGUUUGCGACCCUCGAUGUUGGAUUAAAAUUAGUAGUAGGCGCAGUUGCAUACUUACUAGGUCUGUUCGACCUUUAAUUUUUUACAUGAUCUGAGUUCAAACCGGAG